CCUACGGGGGGCAGCAGUAGGGAAUCUUCCACAAUGGACGAAAGUCUGAUGGAGCAACGCCGCGUGAGUGAAGAAGGGUUUCGGCUCGUAAAGCUCUGUUGGUAGUGAAGAAAGAUAGAGGUAGUAACUGGCCUUUUUUUGACGGUAAUUACUUAGAAAGUCACGGCUAACUACGUGCCAGCAGCCGCGGUAAUACGUAGGUGGCAAGCGUUGUCCGGAUUUAUUGGGCGUAAAGCGAGUGCAGGCGGUUUUUUAAGUCUGAUGUGAAAGCCUUCGGCUUAACCGGAGUAGUGCGUUGGAAACUG
Molecule: ribosomal RNA, 305 nt
Filed under: uncultured bacterium
Lineage: Bacteria
Description: partial 16S ribosomal RNA
Rfam family: Bacterial small subunit ribosomal RNA
Source: RNAcentral